RNAcentral lists this ribosomal RNA (370 nucleotides) under uncultured organism. RNAcentral's name for it is "bacterial SSU rRNA". It matches the Rfam family "Bacterial small subunit ribosomal RNA", at positions 526 to 896 of the family's 1533-position model. The record is from RNAcentral.
CGUAGGGUGCGAGCGUUAAUCGGAAUUACUGGGCGUAAAGCGUGCGCAGGCGGUUAUAUAAGACAGUUGUGAAAUCCCCGGGCUCAACCUGGGAAUUGCAUCUGUGACUGUAUAGCUAGAGUACGGUAGAGGGGGAUGGAAUUCCGCGUGUAGCAGUGAAAUGCGUAGAUAUGCGGAGGAACACCGAUGGCGAAGGCAAUCCCCUGGACCUGUACUGACGCUCAUGCACGAAAGCGUGGGGAGCAAACAGGAUUAGAUACCCUGGUAGUCCACGCCCUAAACGAUGUCAACUGGUUGUUGGGUGCAUUAGUACUCAGUAACGAAGCUAACGCGUGAAGUUGACCGCCUGGGGAGUACGGCCGCAAGGUUG